RNAcentral lists this non-coding RNA (33 nucleotides) under Xenopus tropicalis (tropical clawed frog). The record is from RNAcentral. RNAcentral also lists the same sequence under 1 other name. Lineage: Eukaryota; Metazoa; Chordata; Amphibia; Anura; Pipidae.
AACGCAGGUGUCCUAAGGCGAGCUCAGGGAGGA